Molecule: ribosomal RNA, 253 nt
Filed under: uncultured bacterium
Lineage: Bacteria
Description: partial 16S ribosomal RNA
Rfam family: Bacterial small subunit ribosomal RNA
Source: RNAcentral
UACGUAGGGUGCGAGCGUUGUCCGGAAUCACUGGGCGUAAAGAGCGUGUAGGCGGCCAGGUAGGUCUGCUGUGAAAACUCGAGGCUUAACCUCGAGAUGUCGGCGGAAACCAUCUGGCUAGAGUCCGGAAGAGGAGAAUGGAAUUCCCGGUGUAGCGGUGAAAUGCGCAGAUAUCGGGAAGAACACCCGUGGCGAAGGCGGUUCUCUGGGACGGUACUGACGCUGAGACGCGAAAGCGUGGGGAGCGAACAGG